RNAcentral lists this transfer RNA (82 nucleotides) under Pyrobaculum ferrireducens. RNAcentral's name for it is "tRNA-Val". It matches the Rfam family "tRNA". Rfam says of the family: Transfer RNA (tRNA) molecules are approximately 80 nucleotides in length. Their secondary structure includes four short double-helical elements and three loops (D, anti-codon, and T loops). Further hydrogen bonds mediate the characteristic L-shaped molecular structure. tRNAs have two regions of fundamental functional importance: the anti-codon, which is responsible for specific mRNA codon recognition, and the 3' end, to which the tRNAs corresponding amino acid is attached (by aminoacyl-tRNA synthetases). tRNAs cope with the degeneracy of the genetic code in two manners: having more than one tRNA (with a specific anti-codon) for a particular amino acid; and 'wobble' base-pairing, i.e. permitting non-standard base-pairing at the 3rd anti-codon position. The record is from RNAcentral. Lineage: Archaea; Thermoproteati; Thermoproteota; Thermoprotei; Thermoproteales; Thermoproteaceae.
GGCCCGUAGUCUAGCGGUUAUGAUGCCCGCCUUACAAGCGUGGGGGCUUGGGACAAGGUUCGAAUCCCGGCGGGCCCACCAC